RNAcentral lists this ribosomal RNA (492 nucleotides) under uncultured bacterium. Its description in RNAcentral is "partial 16S ribosomal RNA". It matches the Rfam family "Bacterial small subunit ribosomal RNA", at positions 29 to 507 of the family's 1533-position model. The record is from RNAcentral.
AGUGAACGCUGGCGGUAGGCCUAACACAUGCAAGUCGAACGGCAGCACAGUAAGAGCCUGCUCUUACGGGUGGCGAGUGGCGGACGGGUGAGGAAUAAACCCGAAUCUACUUUUUCGUGGGGGAUAACGUAGGAAAACUUACGCUAAUACCGCAUAAGACCUACUGUUUAAAGCAUGAGAUGUUCGAACCUUACGCGACUGAAUGUGACGAUGUCGGAUUAGUUAGUUGGCGGGGUAAAGGCCCACCAAGGCGACGAUCCGUAGCUGGUCUGAGAGGAUGAUCAGCCACACUGGAACUGAAACACGGUCCAGACUCCUACGGGAGGCAGCAGUGGGGAAUAUUGGACAAUGGGCGCAAGCCUGAUCUAGCCAUACCGCGUGGGUGAAGGAGGCCUUCUGGUUUUAAUGCCCUUUUGUUGGGAAAGAAAAGCAGCAGGUUAAUACCCCGCUGUCCUGACGGUACCCAAAGAAUAAGCACCGGCUAACUUCGUG